GGAAGCUAGACCAGCCUCCCUCGUUACAUAGGCUCGUCCUCUGCAUUGCAUCCGAGCUUCAGUGAUUUGCUGUUUGGAGACUGCAGAUUUGCAUAGAGCCCCUAGCUUCACCAGCGUGUGUGGUUUUUCGGUUCUUUUAUUUAUUUUUCUUUUAUUUUUUUCCUUUUUCUCUUUUCUUUCUUUUCUUUUUCUUUUCUUUUUUCACCUCUCCGCUUUCUCAUCUGCUCCUGCUUUUCCUCUGCUCGAUUCCCCCAGUUCGAUCCCAGCUAUCUUCACAAGGGUGCCCUCUUCCCUCUGAACCCAUCGCCGGGCGUAAGUGUCAGGAGGCGGCGGACUCGGAGAUUGCCUCUGGAGCAGGCGAUGCGCGCCGCUGCUCUGCGCGCUGCCCGGGGGAGGCUGGC
Molecule: long non-coding RNA, 401 nt
Filed under: Rattus norvegicus (Norway rat)
Lineage: Eukaryota; Metazoa; Chordata; Mammalia; Rodentia; Muridae
Description: long non-coding RNA NONRATT024818
Source: RNAcentral